This 447-nucleotide ribosomal RNA is filed under the name uncultured bacterium. RNAcentral describes it as "bacterial SSU rRNA". It matches the Rfam family "Bacterial small subunit ribosomal RNA", at positions 335 to 769 of the family's 1533-position model. The record is from RNAcentral.
ACUCCUACGGGAGGCAGCAGUGGGGAAUAUUGCACAAUGGGCGCAAGCCUGAUGCAGCCAUGCCGCGUGUAUGAAGAAGGCCUUCGGGUUGUAAAGUACUUUCAGCAGUGAGGAAGGUGAUAUGUUAUAGUACAUAUUCAUUUGAUCGUUUAGCUUGCAGAAGAAGACACCGGCUAACUCCGUGCCAGCAGCCGCGGUAAUACGGAGGGUGCGAGCGUUAAUCGGAAUUACUGGGCGUAAAGCGCAUGCAGGUGGUUUGUUAAGUCAGAUGUGAAAGCCCGGGGCUCAACCUCGGAAUUGCAUUUGAAACUGGCAAACUAGAGUACUGUAGAGGGGGGUGAGAAUUUCAGGUGUAGCGGUGAAAUGCGUAGAGAUCUGAAGGAAUACCGGUGGCGAAGGCGGCCCCCUGGACAGAUACUGACACUCAGAUGCGAAAGCGUGGGGAGC